Molecule: ribosomal RNA, 262 nt
Filed under: uncultured bacterium
Lineage: Bacteria
Description: partial 16S ribosomal RNA
Rfam family: Bacterial small subunit ribosomal RNA
Source: RNAcentral
UGCACCUACGGGAGGCAGCAGUGGGGGAUAUUGCACAAUGGGGGAAACCCUGAUGCAGCGACGCCGCGUGAGUGAAGAAGUAUUUCGGUACGUAAAGCUCUAUCAGCAGGGAAGAAUAAUGACGGUACCUGACUAAGAAGCCCCGGCUAACUACGUGCCAGCAGCCGCGGUAAUACGUAGGGGGCGAGCGUUAUCCGGAUUCACUGGGUGUAAAGGGAGCGUAGACGGCCGUGCAAGCCAGGAGUGAAAGCCCGGGGCCCAA